Molecule: long non-coding RNA, 915 nt
Organism: Pseudophryne corroboree (corroboree frog)
Lineage: Eukaryota; Metazoa; Chordata; Amphibia; Anura; Myobatrachidae
Exons: 3
Source: RefSeq, a predicted model, not a curated record
UAAUUGACCUCUAGCGUCUAUGCUGUUCUAUGGGAGAGACGUAAUAACGUCUCUCCCAUAGAUCGAAGAGAGGAGAAGAGUGGCGCCGCCGGCGGAUGGGGGUCUGCAGCGGUCUGGAUCAGGAACGGGGAUGCCUGGUGCAGCUGAAGGCAUGUGACUAAUCAACAGAGCAGCUGCGAGGAACUCCCUUAAGAAGUUAAGAACUUCUCCAAUACUUCUCUUCUGGAUCCGUAUAUAGUUCUGCCACCAUUCUACCUCAUCCACAAAUGACCGAACCCCAUCUGCAUCCACCAUCUAUGGACCACACCACAGCUCCUAUACAGCCAUACCACGAUCACCACCUACAAGUAUCGAUCCACAUCUAUAGACAUUCAAGUGAAAAGGUAUUGAUGAUCUUCUGCCAAGGAGGAACAUGUAAGUGUGUCAUCUGAGGAAUUCAAAUUUCCCAGGACCACCACUUCUCAUGUCCUACAAAACAGACUGGAACUAGAGGUUUCUUAAUUUUCCACCUACUAAGCUCUACUAGAAGGAUACAAUAGUAAAUGGAACAUGAGCUUAUGGGAAAUAUAAAGUAGUUUGGCUGGCCCAAUCCCACCUCUGAUGCAGGUGUCAGAAAAUGUCCAGCUUGGAUCUUUCUCAUUACCAGUGGUCACACAUACCUAUGAAGGAGGCCAAACCUUGAAAGUCUGAUUGUCUCACAAAUAAGAGACUUGGAAAAUGAAAAUGUAACCCUGAACGUGGCAUUCUUAGCCAAGCCUAUCCAUGUAUGUACAUAAUGGAAUUCCCUUUGACAGAAACCAACAAAGAAAGUAAAAGCAAAACUAACCCUGAAUUACUAACCUGUUAUUGAUGGGCUACAUGUAUUUUACAGUCAGCACUAUUAACCAUGUAUAAAUGUUUUGCUCAUUACAUCAA